Drosophila suzukii is the source of this 1611-nucleotide long non-coding RNA. RefSeq lists it as uncharacterized. NCBI's taxonomy places the organism in Eukaryota, Metazoa, Arthropoda, Insecta, Diptera, Drosophilidae. The record is from RefSeq and is a predicted model, not a curated record.
UUUCUCACUAUCGAUGGUUUUCCUUUUUUUUUGCCCAUCACUUUAUGCUUUUUCCAUCAUUUUUUAGCGGGAGUUGGCAAGCGAACAAGUGAAUUAAUAUCUUAAAAGUGGUGGUGUUGGUGCUGGCAGUGGCCUGAAAUGGAUUAUGGACAAGUUUCUCAAAAUGCACUUUGGUGUGACAACUUUUAACAUUAACAUUUUAUUCUGCAGCCGGAGGCUACAAGUCCUAAGCGUCAAGAGGAAGCUUCGAGUCCUAAGCGUCGAGGGGAAGCUAGGAGCAAAAUAGAAAUUUGUGUUGUUUUUUUAUUUAUUUAUUUAUUUAUUUUUUUAACCAUCGAUAGUCCAUCGAUUGUUUUUCUAAAACAAUCGAAAACCAUCGAUGGUCCCACCAUCGAUUGUUCUCCAGCUCUAACUUCAAGUAUUCUGCGAAUUUGACCCUUUUGUGGAAUUGCUUCCUGUCGGUGAAGUCCCACAAUAAAGGGCAUAAGCUUGGAUUUGGCGUCCUAUUUCAUCUGUACUGACCUCCUGCAUCCGAUUUUGAGGGUUUCCUUCCAUUUUUAAUUUUUAGUUUUCACAUCGCCUUUGCACGCACACCGCCAAAGAUUGAAUUUCUUAUUCCUUGGGCCGCGGCUCAUCACGUUCAUCGAAAAUUCAGUCUGAUUUUUCCUUUUUUUUCUGAUAUUUCCUUAGCUCAUCUGAGUACCGCGCUGAAAAACAGACCCGACGAAAAGCGUUAGCCGCGUAUUUGCCUUUCGCUCACUCCUAUGGUUAGCUCGCGGUUUUCGUCGAUCUGAGUACUAGGCUUAAAAUCAGAGCUGAUAAAAUACCAACAAGUAUUUAAAAUACCAUAUUCGGUCACGCUGAAAGCGACCGCGCCUACAAGGGGUGUCACGUAAAUUUCUACGGAGGAAAUUCAAGGUAAGAGUACGUUAGAGAUGUAAGAACUUCAAUGCCACUAUCGAUAUCAUCGAUGUUUUUUUUAAAACGGCGAUAUAUCUAUGUAUUUAUCAAACAUCGAUAACUUCGACACUACUAGGCUUUACUCAGUGAGUACUACUCACAUCAACGAAAUCCGCGAGCUAACCAUGGGAGUCAGCGGAACCCAAGACGACUGCACGAGGUCAGAGCAAAUGAAAAAGGAUAUCUAAUCCGAGCCUUGUCCAAGUUGCCCAUUACUGUGGGACUUGAUCCUCUGGAAACAAUACCACAACAGGGCAAAUCCGCAGAAUAGUGGAAGUGCUGGAGAUAAUCAAAUCGAGAAGCCCAUUGAAAACGAGUGGGACUUUUCUCCCUGCAUGGACAUCCUGCCGGACGGGCCUACGCAAAGAAAGACUCCACAUCCACCUGCUACUUGGCAUCUAAUGCGGACCUGGAAAAAAAGACGCCCGCUAAGGGAUAGCUAUAGGAGCCAAUACCAGCCGUUCUCAGGAUGCUGGACGACUUCCUGCAGCAUCUGCGCAACGACCCCGUUCCCAAUCCGGCUCACAGUCACACAAGACUAAUAUUGGCAUAUUUGCGAAUCGGAGCUUGACUGCAGAUGGCGAAGCAACCGCUACACGAGAAGGAAGCCUUAAACUAUUAAAUAACAUAAGUCAAAACAUCCUUUGAAAA